This 492-nucleotide ribosomal RNA is filed under the name uncultured bacterium. RNAcentral describes it as "partial 16S ribosomal RNA". It matches the Rfam family "Bacterial small subunit ribosomal RNA", at positions 29 to 507 of the family's 1533-position model. The record is from RNAcentral.
AGUGAACGCUGGCGGUAGGCCUAACACAUGCAAGUCGAACGGCAGCACAGUAAGAGCUUGCUCUUACGGGUGGCGAGUGGCGGACGGGUGAGGAAUACAUCGGAAUCUACUUUUUCGUGGGGGAUAACGUAGGGAAACUUACGCUAAUACCGCAUCCGACCUACGGGUGAAAGCAGGGGAUCUUCGGACCUUGCGCGAUUGAAUGAGCUGAUGUCGGAUUAGCUAGUUGGCGGGGUAAAGGCCCACCAAGGCGACGAUCCGUAGCUGGUCUGAGAGGAUGAUCGGCCACACUGGAACGGAGACACGGUCCAGACGCCUACGGGAGGCAGCAGUGGGGAAUAUUGGACAAUGGGCGCAAGCCUGAUCCAGCCAUACCGCGUGGGUGAAGAAGGCCUUCGGGUUGUAAAGCCCUUUUGUUGGGAAAGAAAAGCAGCAGGUUAAUACCCCGCUGUUCUGACGGUACCCAAAGAAUAAGCACCGGCUAACUUCGUG